GACGAACGCUGGCGGCGUGCUUAACACAUGCAAGUCGAACGGAAAGGCCCUGCUUUUGUGGGGUGCUCGAGUGGCGAACGGGUGAGUAACACGUGAGUAACCUGCCCUUGACUUUGGGAUAACUUCAGGAAACUGGGGCUAAUACCGGAUAGGAGCUCCUGCUGCAUGGUGGGGGUUGGAAAGUUUCGGCGGUUGGGGAUGGACUCGCGGCUUAUCAGCUUGUUGGUGGGGUAGUGGCUUACCAAGGCUUUGACGGGUAGCCGGCCUGAGAGGGUGACCGGCCACAUUGGGACUGAGAGACGGCCCAGACUCCUACGGGAGGCAGCAGGGGGGAAUAUUGCACAAUGGGCGGAAGCCUGAUGCAGCAACGCCGCGUGCGUGAUGACGGCCUUCGGGUUGUAAACCGCUUUCGCCUGUGACGAAGCGUGAGUGACGGUAAUGAGUAAAGAAGCACCGGCUAACUACGUG
RNAcentral lists this ribosomal RNA (468 nucleotides) under uncultured bacterium. RNAcentral describes it as "partial 16S ribosomal RNA". It matches the Rfam family "Bacterial small subunit ribosomal RNA", at positions 28 to 507 of the family's 1533-position model. The record is from RNAcentral.